UGUCGGAUGUGAUAAGGUUAGUCAGUUUCCUCCUACAGGUUGGCAUUUUCCUUCAAGUACUACGGUUUAGUACGGCACUAAAACUGACUGCCAUGAAAUUACCCAUAUGGUGUAGAAAGUGAUGUUUAUAAAACCAAAGCAAAGUUUUAAAUCUUUGUCCAUUUGUACAAGGAGCCGUAGUGGUUGAGCCAUUUAACUUUGGUAAUUUUACCAAACUGUGACCACAACUUCAAGAUGUGACAUCAGGCCUCUGUUCAAUGGGCAGUCCCACAAUAAAAGUUCAAUUUUCACGUCAUACAUUUUAUAUGGUUAAUUUGUCAGUUUCCUGCCUCAGUUCUGUGUUUUUUUCUGGGUACUUUGGUUAACUUUGCCAAUAAAACUGAAAGUCUUACGUGAAAUUAUCCAUAUGAUGUAGAAUGUGAAAUU
RNAcentral lists this long non-coding RNA (426 nucleotides) under Mytilus galloprovincialis (Mediterranean mussel). The record is from RNAcentral. Lineage: Eukaryota; Metazoa; Mollusca; Bivalvia; Mytilida; Mytilidae.